This 254-nucleotide ribosomal RNA is filed under the name uncultured bacterium. RNAcentral's name for it is "partial 16S ribosomal RNA". It matches the Rfam family "Bacterial small subunit ribosomal RNA", at positions 524 to 777 of the family's 1533-position model. The record is from RNAcentral.
UACGAAGGGGGCUAGCGUUGCUCGGAAUCACUGGGCGUAAAGAGUGCGUAGGCGGGUCUUUAAGUCAGGGGUGAAAUCCUGGAGCUCAACUCCAGAACUGCCUUUGAUACUGAGGAUCUUGAGUUCGGGAGAGGUGAGUGGAACUGCGAGUGUAGAGGUGAAAUUCGUAGAUAUUCGGAAGAACACCAGUGGCGAAGGCGGCUCACUGGACUGGUAUUGACGCUGAGGUGCGAAAGCGUGGGGAGCAAACAGGG